GGAGAGGUGGCCGAGCGGUCGAAGGCGGCGGUUUGCUAAACCGUUAAUGGGAGUAAAUCCCAUUCGUGGGUUCGAAUCCCAUCCUCUCCGCCA
Molecule: transfer RNA, 93 nt
Filed under: Alphaproteobacteria bacterium
Lineage: Bacteria; Pseudomonadati; Pseudomonadota; Alphaproteobacteria
Also listed under: 1 other name
Description: tRNA-Ser
Rfam family: tRNA
About the family: Transfer RNA (tRNA) molecules are approximately 80 nucleotides in length.
Source: RNAcentral